Molecule: long non-coding RNA, 1004 nt
Organism: Pectinophora gossypiella (pink bollworm)
Lineage: Eukaryota; Metazoa; Arthropoda; Insecta; Lepidoptera; Gelechiidae
Exons: 6
Source: RefSeq, a predicted model, not a curated record
GCGGCCUCGAUUAGCGGGGGAACCACAUGAAAAAAAGCGAGCUACUGGGUGUACCUCCUGGGUAGUUUGGAAAUCACCUAAAAUAUAUAUGUAUAUAUUUAUAAAUAAAAGUUAAUAUAUAUAAAUUAACAUUAUUAUUUUUUAACAGGAAAUGCACAAUGCUAAAAACUGCGUAGGAGAUUUUAAUACAAUAGUACUACCAAGCCUGAUGUUGGCCGCUAUUUCAAUGAAUGCAGCAGUGUGACAGCUAGCAAUCAAAAGUAACAAGAUAUCGAGGAAAUGCAGAUGGCAAUAAACUGUGUAGGAGUUCAUGAUUGCAAUAGAAUAAAAUCGACCAAGCCUGAAGUCAGCAGCCCCUUCAAUGAAUGCAGCAGUGUGACAGCCAGCAAUCAAAAGUUACAAGAUAUCGAGGAAAUGCAGAAGGCAAAAAACUGCGUAGGAGAUCAUUAAUACAAAAGUAUUAUAUAAACCAAACCUGAUGUUGCCAGCUCCUUCAAUGAAUGCAGCAGUGUGACAGCCAACAAUCAAAAGUUACAAGAUAUCGAGGAAAUGCAGAAGGCAAAAAACUGCGUAGGAGAUCAUUAAUACAAUAGUAUUAUAUAAACCAAGCCUGAUGUUGGCCGCUCAUUCAAAGAAUGCAGCAGUGUGACAGCCAGCAAUCAAAAGUAACAAGAUGUCGAGGAAAUGCAGAGUGUAAUAAACUGUGUAGGAGAUUAUGAUUGCAAUAGAAUAAAAUCGACCAAGCCUGAAGUCCUUCAAAGCACGCAGCAGUGUGACAGCCAGCAAUCAAAAGUUACAAGAUAUCGAGGAAAUACAGAAGGCAAAGAAGCAGAUGUCAUCAAAGAAGAUCUUUGUUCCUGCAAUGUUUCCGCAGACGAUACAUCCAACAGAGCGAAGUGGAAGGAAAAGACUCGGAAUAAAGACCCCACCACCAUAUGGGAACAAUGCAAGGGAGAGAGAGAGAAUAUAAUGUUAUAUUUUUAUUUUUUGAUAACAUAAAAUAA